GGUUAUUGAACUUGUAUAAGUAUAUAUUUUGAAAAUAUAAAAAAGAAGUUUAAUCUUCUAAUAACUU
RNAcentral lists this transfer RNA (67 nucleotides) under Staphylinidae sp. BMNH 1274696. RNAcentral's name for it is "tRNA-Ser". Lineage: Eukaryota; Metazoa; Arthropoda; Insecta; Coleoptera; Staphylinidae. The record is from RNAcentral.